UCUCUCUAUCAUUGUCAGAAUUUUUAUUUAAAAAUUGUUCCUUCUUCUGGAUUUUUAUCUUUCAGAAGAUCCUCUGAAGUUUUCACUCUGUUCUGAUGACACAUGUGAUAAGGACUGACUGCUAACAAAAUUCAGAGAAAAAUGUAACCAGAACGCCUACCCAAGGUAUCAGAGUCGUGGACCACAGUCACCUCCUACAGAGUGGUUCAGUCUCAAAAACAACAGAGUUCUGGGUGACCAACAGGAUCCUCUACCCUCCCUAAUACUACCUGUCAAUGCAGGAUAUGCUGGCGUGUCCACCAGUUACACAAUGUCCAAAGAAGAAGAUUUCAAAUCGUAUUUCAUCAAACUAGGUGCAUCCUGUGGGGAAGAAGAGAGUACACCACGUGUUUGAAGACAAUAGCAGGAUGCAAAGUCCCAUCUCCAAACUCGUGUUUGGAGUGUCUUCAUGAAAUUUAAUUAGAAAAUUCUGUGUGUG
RNAcentral lists this long non-coding RNA (478 nucleotides) under Catharus ustulatus (Swainson's thrush). Its description in RNAcentral is "lncRNA (ENSCUSG00005003783.1)". The record is from RNAcentral. Lineage: Eukaryota; Metazoa; Chordata; Aves; Passeriformes; Turdidae.